This 497-nucleotide ribosomal RNA is filed under the name uncultured bacterium. RNAcentral describes it as "partial 16S ribosomal RNA". It matches the Rfam family "Bacterial small subunit ribosomal RNA", at positions 28 to 507 of the family's 1533-position model. The record is from RNAcentral.
GAUGAACGCUGGCGGCGUGCCUAAUACAUGCAAGUCGAGCGAACAGACGAGGAGCUUGCUCCUCUGACGUUAGCGGCGGACGGGUGAGUAACACGUGGAUAACCUACCUAUAAGACUGGGAUAACUUCGGGAAACCGGAGCUAAUACCGGAUAAUAUAUUGAACCGCAUGGUUCAAUAGUGAAAGACGGUUUUGCUGUCACUUAUAGAUGGAUCCGCGCCGCAUUGGCUAGUUGGUAAGGUAACGGCUUACCAAGGCAACGAUGCGUAGCCGACCUGUGAGGGUGGUCGGCCACCCGGGAGCUUGGCCACGCUCCUUACUCCUACGGGAGGCCCCAGUAGGCAACCGUCCGCAAUGGUCGAAAGCUUGGCGGAGCAGCGCCGCGUCAGUGAUGAAGGCCUUCGGAGCGUAAAGCUCGCUUAUUAGUUAUGAACAAAUUUGUAAUUAACCAUGCACGUCUUGACGGUACCGGAUAAGAAAGCCACGGCUAACUACGUG